UCUCCGUUGGUGAACCAGCGGAGGGAUCAUU
RNAcentral lists this ribosomal RNA (31 nucleotides) under Hapsidospora chrysogena. Its description in RNAcentral is "Acremonium chrysogenum partial small subunit ribosomal RNA". Lineage: Eukaryota; Fungi; Ascomycota; Sordariomycetes; Hypocreales; Bionectriaceae. RNAcentral also lists the same sequence under 76 other names. The record is from RNAcentral.